UACGUAGGGCGCAAGCGUGUCCGGAAUUAUUGGGCGUAAAGAGCUCGUAGGCGGCCUGUUACGUCUGCUGUGAAAUCCCGGGGCUUAACCCCGGGCGUGCAGUGGAUACGGGCAGGCUGGAGGCAGGCAGGGGAGAACGGAAUUCCCGGUGUAGCGGUGAAAUGCGCAGAGUAUCGGGAGGAACACCGGUGGCGAAGGCGGUUCUCUGGGCCUGUACUGACGCUGAGGAGCGAAAGCGUGGGGAGCGAACAGG
Molecule: ribosomal RNA, 253 nt
Filed under: uncultured bacterium
Lineage: Bacteria
Description: partial 16S ribosomal RNA
Rfam family: Bacterial small subunit ribosomal RNA
Source: RNAcentral